GACGAGCGCUGGCGGCGUGCUUAACACAUGCAAGUCGAACGGAAAGGCCCUGCUUUUGUGGGGUGCUCGAGUGGCGAACGGGUGAGUAACACGUGAGUAACCUGCCCUUGACUUUGGGAUAACUUCAGGAAACUGGGGCUAAUACCGGAUAGGAGCUCCUGCUGCAUGGUGGGGGUUGGAAAGUUUCGGCGGUUGGGGAUGGACUCGCGGCUUAUCAGCUUGUUGGUGGGGUAGUGGCUUACCAAGGCUUUGACGGGUAGCCGGCCUGAGAGGGUGACCGGCCACAUUGGGACUGAGGUACGGCCCAGACUCCUACGGGGGGCAGGAGUGGGGAAUAUUGCACAAUGGGCGGAAGCCUGAUGCAGCAACGCCGCGGGCGGGAUGACGGCCUUCGGGGUGUAAACCGCUUUCGCCUGUGACGAAGCGUGAGUGACGGUAAUGGGUAAAGAAGCACCGGCUAACUACGUG
RNAcentral lists this ribosomal RNA (468 nucleotides) under uncultured bacterium. Its description in RNAcentral is "partial 16S ribosomal RNA". It matches the Rfam family "Bacterial small subunit ribosomal RNA", at positions 28 to 507 of the family's 1533-position model. The record is from RNAcentral.